GCGUCGCUAUCGUCUAGUGGUUAGGACGUCACGUUGUGGCCGUCACAACCCCGGUUCAUAUUCCCGGACGGCGCA
This 75-nucleotide transfer RNA is filed under the name Perkinsus olseni. RNAcentral's name for it is "tRNA-His". The record is from RNAcentral. Lineage: Eukaryota; Perkinsozoa; Perkinsida; Perkinsidae.